UUGAAGAGGGAAUCAAUAUAGAUGAAUAGUGAUUUUUUUUUCUUGUUUUGAGUUCUCAUCAUGACAGCCGUGCCUAUUGACUGGCCAACUGGGUACAGUCGGAUCUUAGCUCAGGCAUUGGCUUAACCAACUAACUCCCCUUGGGCUUUGGCCAAGCCUCUGCCCAUUGGAUUUAUCAAUAGGGAGCAGGGUGAGCUCCCUGCUGGUAGGGAUUUUACCUGGUUCCUUUCUGAUAUCAUCCAUCCAGAUCCCAGGAAGAAGCCACCGACAGCUCUAUUACAAGGAAAGCAUGGAAAGGAAAGCAUGCUAAGCCAUGUACUUCUCUCCCCUUGAAACUAAGCUGCUGUUUACAACCUACUUCUAUGAAAGCUGCCGUCAUUGUUCUGGAAGAAAAUAUUCCAAAUGCCCAUCAUUGUUCUGAGCACUUUGGAGGAACAGGGUAUACACAGUGGGCAGUGGAGUCUGUUGCGGAAGAUGGGAAGGCGUGCUGUUCGAAUGCAUCAAGACCACUGUGUCCAGUGUACACUUGGCUUAACUCAGAUCUAUAUCCCAAGAAGUCUACAAAUGAACACCGAUAAUAGCAGUCUGGACAAUGAUACAUUGUGCUAUUAGUGUUAGAUUAUUAUUAUUUUGAAGAGUCACAUGUAUAACAAACAGGAUGCAACCGGACAUGGCGGGCAUCUGUUGCUAAGUUUGGCAGGAAGUCUUAAAGAAGCAAACAGCAUGCCCUUCCGCCCUGGCAUAUUCAUAAGCUAUUUUGGGAUGAGUCAUCGGAAUUCUGUGGUUUGUAUAUCCUGAAGGGAGAAAGAAGACACUGUAUGGUUAACAUUUAUUUGAAAGAGCUUAUUGGAAAGAAAAAUUCUUUGAUAAAGUUCAGCAUUAGGUAAAAAAAAAAUGCCUGUGGAUCUUUACACUGUUGUAAAGAUUUUGCUUGUGUGCCCAUCUCUGGGAAUACCAUACCACAGUAACUCUUCAUGCUGAACUCUCAGUUUGAUGUAGUGCCUAUAGAAGUCUGAACAGGUGUUUAGCAGAAGUAAUUCACUGGCAGUAAACAAAUGACUGUUUCUUUCAUUGGAGUUGAUGCUAUAUGUGAAGAUCUAGAGGCCAAGUCAUCUAUCUGAGACUGUUGGAUCAUACUGCCAAUACUGUCACUGUAGAUUAUGAUUGAGUCCACUCUGUCAUCUAUGACA
This is a non-coding RNA of Peromyscus maniculatus bairdii (prairie deer mouse), 1190 nucleotides long. The record is from RefSeq and is a predicted model, not a curated record. Lineage: Eukaryota; Metazoa; Chordata; Mammalia; Rodentia; Cricetidae.